Molecule: ribosomal RNA, 429 nt
Filed under: uncultured bacterium
Lineage: Bacteria
Description: bacterial SSU rRNA
Rfam family: Bacterial small subunit ribosomal RNA
Source: RNAcentral
UGGGGAAUAUUGGACAAUGGGGGAAACCCUGAUCCAGCAAUGCCGCGUGUGUGAAGAAGGCCUGAGGGUUGUAAAGCACUUUCAGUGGGGAGGAGGGUUGAUUGGUUAAGAGCUGAUUAAUUGGACGUUACCCACAGAAGAAGCACCGGCUAACUCCGUGCCAGCAGCCGCGGUAAUACGGAGGGUGCAAGCGUUAAUCGGAAUUACUGGGCGUAAAGGGUGCGUAGGUUGUUGAAUAAGUUAGUUGUGAAAUACCCGGGCUUAACUUGGGAGUGCCAACUAAGACUGUUUGACUGGAGUAUGGGAGAGGGUAGUGGAAUUUCCGGUGUAGCGGUGAAAUGCGUAGAGAUCGGAAGGAACACCAGUAGCGAAGGCGGCUACCUGGCCUAAUACUGACACUGAAGCACGAAAGCGUGGGGAGCAAACAGG